UUACCCACUCUCAAAAUGAGGAGGUAGUGAAGAGAAAUAACGAUGUUAGUCUUUUCAAGGCUGACAAUCGGAAUGGGAACACUGUAAAAAGGUUAUCGAUUAACAAUUGGAGGGCAAGUCUGGUGCCAGCAGCCGCGGUAAUUCCAGCUCCAAUAAGGAAAACUAAAGUUGCUGUGUUUAAAAAGCUCGUAGUUGAAUUUCGGGUAUUUGUUGCUAGUUGGUCUAACUGGCCAUAUUGGUUAACAGAUCCUCAUUUGCUGGACGGCUGGCGAUGAUCUUUAUCGAUUGUCGUCAGUUGCCAGAACGUUUACUUUGAGAAAAUUAGAGUGCUAAAAGCAGGCUCACGCCUAUAUAUAUUGCAUGGAAUAAUGAAAUAAGAUCUCGAUUUUAUUUCGUGGUUUUAGUAAUUAGUAGAUAAUAG
Molecule: ribosomal RNA, 421 nt
Filed under: uncultured eukaryote
Lineage: Eukaryota
Description: SSU rRNA
Rfam family: Eukaryotic small subunit ribosomal RNA
Source: RNAcentral